GGUGUACAGUACUACUUUGAUGUGUACUAGAUUUGGUCGCUGAUGUUUGCCGAUCAGUUUGUAUUGGAUAGUUGCGCCAUAGUUCUCGAACCCAAAUGCUGAGGCAGAAUUUUAUAAGCCACAAGAUCAACAGCUUGAAAUAAAAUAUUAAUAAAUUAAUACAUAAUGAGGUUUUUUUUCCUAAUAUUUUGUAAUGUUGCGUUUUAAACAUUAUUUGAUAGUAAAAAACUGGAGAAAUUAGUGCGAAGCACCACUGAAUGCCUUGGCCUGUAGGGGAGGAAAUCUCAUGAUUCUUAUGCUCUACAUUCCACAAUAAUACAACACUUUUAAUACAUUUUUAUAUUCGACAGCGGAUAAGCUAAAGGGGUAAGCUGGCUAACGCAAGGAUCUCAGAACAAUACAAGACGGAGGAACACUCCCACGGAGGAGAGGUUCGAACCAGAAUACAAUAUAUAAAUGAUACAUAACAACUUAUUCGACUGUACUGAUCAUUGUUAAUCCAGUAAACACCUUUUGUUACCACCUUGCUGCAAGCUGAUGAAUAGGCUCUAUUCAACCUACUUGCUCUAUUUAUAUUCCUACUGUAGAGUAUACUAUAGGCUUAUAAUAAGAAGUAACCGACAUUAGUAUUGUUUUAAAUCCAGUAAACACAUUUUGUUACCACCCUGCUGAGCAAGCCAAAUGUGCUGUAAUUUCAGAGUGUGAAAUACUGCAUAAAAUUAAGGCAAAAUAUCAUUAUUAGGCACCGGAAUAUUUAAAAGCAAAGUAGUGCAUUAAGCCUUAUAAUAGACUCAUUUAUUUAUCAAAUUACGAUGAAGAACGACAAAGCUCAAGUCAGUCUUUAUUCGAAUUAAUACGAGUGAAUAUCCAAUAUGAAAAAAUAAUAUACUCGUAUCGGUUGAAUAUUCAAUACAGUAUAUUUAUGUUUAAGUCCAUCGGAUCGGCCGGGUUGUCCCUCUGCUGAGUUAUCGGACUCCCACUGCCUAGAAUACUAAAUCUCAAUGAUUAAUAUUUAUCCCGUAAUUUACCUAAUCGAAAUGCUCAACUUUAUAUGGAGAUUAUAAUUAAUGAUAAAUGUUAUUUAGGCCUACUUGAAUACAAUUGUGGUGUCUCUACAGUACCUCCAUUCCGGAAAAAAAGCAACCUUUUUGCCUGGAGGGUAUGACGUUUCCAUCGUGAUCUUUCAGACGAAUUAAUUCUUACAGUAUGACGGUAUUGAUGCACUUUACACAUAUUUUUACACUAUAGAGAGUUUUCGCCAUACAUUCUUUCAAGAACAUAAUGUUUUGUGAACUUGCAUAUUCUAUUUUUCAGUAAAUAUUUCCUCAUACACGAUAUUAUUUCUUAAUGCAUUUUGUUUUGGUAGUUCAAAUGUCGAGCAACUUGUCGUCUGUACUUCUACGAUAGGCUGUAAUCAAUAAAAAAUAAUAUAGUACCGUAAUCAUGUUCUACUUUUCAUUACAAGUUGUAAUACAUAGUAAAAAGUUAUACACCUACUCGAGUGUUUGAAUUAUUACACUUUAUUCACAUUCUUUACAGAAUUUUUCUCCAUGUUACCGGGCUUAUGUUCAUAUAUACUAUUUUUGCAAUAUGUAAUUUAUUAAGAUAGUAUAAUACAUACUCCAAGUAUCGAAAUGCACGAUCGUGUCGGGAUUUAAUAUUUCGACAUUAAUUAUGUCAUCAUCAGGAUUUAUUAAUUAUCAUUAAUACGUAAUUAUUUGUAUAUAAUUGAAGUUCAUAUACACAUAUACAUGUUAUAUACAGGGUUCCUGUCGGGCCCGUCCAGUACUCAACAUUUCUGCCGACGACCCGGCAUCACUAUUUUUGCAAUUGAUAUAGUACAAAAACAGUAUAGGCUAACAAAAUGUUCCGUUACACAACUACUGGAAUAGGGAGUUGUUGUUGAUUAUCAACUCACUCUGGCUAGACAAUGAACACGCUUGCUACAUCAGAUAAGACAAAAGAUAUCAAUUAACGUCUCCGUGGUAACGUUAACUUUUAACGCUACUACUAUGGACAGGCAUAGUAUUGUUGCUUUUUAUUGAGCAACAAACGAUUGAAUCGGUGGCAUGAAUCGUGUACAUAUUUGGGUAUAUAGAAUAGCAGGUUUUAUUAUAUUAAUAUAUUUUUAUGAUGUUUACAAUUCUUAAUGUGAUUUCAAUUUGUGCUUUUUUCAAUAGUUUUUAAAGUAAUUUGUAAAUAUUAUUCAAAACUUACAUUUGUUAUUCUAUGUAACUAAACUAUACAAUCUACAUCAAAUGAAAAACACUAUAAUAGACUAUGAAGAAAUGUUAUUAAACCAACAUUAUUAUUUUUAUACGUUCCCAUGCAAUCAUGUUAAUGACCAAUGAAUGCAAUGUUGAAUGACCACUUUUUUUUUUUUAACGUUUAUUGGAUAAAUGUAGCGUGGAUAGAGAAUUAACGUGCAAUUUAUGGUAUGGAGAAUCCUAUGACAAGUAUAUGAAAAAAGUAAUAAAAAUUGACAAGAUUGCUGUAUACAAUUGGUGUAUAGGAAGUAACACUCUAAUGAUUUAGGGGAGAAAUUCUGGUAUAUUUCUUAAGAGGUAUCAACAUUUAAAGGUUGCAUGAAUUUUCUUUAUAUUGGGUGAAUAUUUUGAAACUAAUGUAGUCAUUGCGAUAGGCCUACAUUGAUAUUAAUGAUAUUGUAUGUAUUUCUUAAUUGGGAUGGUCUCUUUACGACCUAUCACCGGUUUCUAUCCCAUCUACAAUGUAAAUUGGAGGACUCAAUUGUAGGCUCACAAAUGAGUGGAAUGAAUCUUGUCUUUGGCUCGGAUGAAGAGAAGGCCCCAACAAAGGCAGUAAAAAGUGUUUUCCCUUCAUCAGAUUUAGUGUUAUGCAUGCAGCACAUAUCAAAGAAUGUGAAUCAUCACCUAAUUAAGAUUGGCGUGGAAAUCAGCGAAAGAAGAAAAAUAAUGGAUACGAUAUUUGGCGCAACAGGACUUAUGGCAUGCAAAGAGGAAUAUGAAUAUUUAAAAAAAGCCAUGGAGUUGCAUGAAAAAUAUGUAAAUGAGGUACCAACAUUUGCAAAUUAUUUUAAGAAUUUAACAGAUAAAUUGUUGGAAAAUGUUGUCAAAUCUCGUAACAAAAACAAAUGGAUUCCGUUAGAUUGGAAGAAUAACUCAUGUGAAAGCUUAAAUAAUAUCCUGAAAUUAGCAGUGAAUUGGAAAACCCUGAAACUGCCGGACUUAAUUAAUAGAAUUAAUAAUAUUGUUAAAUUACAGCUCUGUGAUAUCCGUAGAGCAAUACAUGGAACAGGCAAUUUUAAACUUGCACCAUGGAUGGCAAAGUUUGCAGUAAAACAUGUAAAUUGGGUGAAGAAAAGUGAGGCCGAAAAAGAAAAUGUAUAUCGUAAAUUUAUGAAAGGUCCCAAAAAACUAAACAGUCACAUUUGCUCAACGGACGGUGGAUUAACUAUACCAACGGUUGCUAAGAGUGCCCGAAAACCAGGCCAAAAACACCGUGUGAAAAAUGCAAAAACUCAAAAAGUACGAUUUUAAAUAUAUGCAAAUUAUUUAUAGAAAAAAAAAA
This 3549-nucleotide unclassified non-coding RNA is filed under the name Anneissia japonica. RNAcentral's name for it is "uncharacterized LOC117101325, transcript variant X1". The record is from RNAcentral. Lineage: Eukaryota; Metazoa; Echinodermata; Crinoidea; Comatulida; Comatulidae.